UCCAGUGUACACAUGUAACAAACCUGCACAUGUACAUGUACUUCCUGAGUCCAAAAUGAAAGUUGAAUUUUUUUAAAAAUAACAGAUAAGCUUCUUCUCUCAAGGAAUUUAUAGUAUUUACAAUUUUUUUUUUUUUUGAGACGGGAAAAAUCCAUGGUGGUGGCUCACGCCUGUUAUCCCAGCACUUGGGGAGGCCGAGGCCAAGGCAGGUGGGUCAUUUGAGGUCAGGAGUUUGAGACCCACCUGGCCAACAUGGUGAAACCCUGUCUCUAAUAAAAAUACAAAAAAAAAUUAGAUGG
RNAcentral lists this long non-coding RNA (299 nucleotides) under Pan troglodytes (chimpanzee). RNAcentral's name for it is "long non-coding RNA NONPTRT012068". The record is from RNAcentral. Lineage: Eukaryota; Metazoa; Chordata; Mammalia; Primates; Hominidae.